CCAACGGUGAAUGGAGUCCAGAUUCUCUGAGGCUCCUGCAGUUCUUAUGUCUCACCUUCACCUACUUUCCUAAUGGCCACUCAUAGUUGUGCUACCUUCCAGAAGCAUGGCUUUAAAAUCCUUCAGGAAUUUCCAGACGGUCCAUUUCCAUCCUCUCCUGCCCACCCGCGUGCCUCAGCUGAAGUGAGUCUGCUUACCCCGGGCACUGAUAUGGACAAAGAGACCUAUUGAUGACGGAAUGACGGUGCAUACAGCUUUGGUUCCUGCUGGCGACCACAUUGCAACCUUAAAGGCUGAGAGUCUUAGGAUGACGUUGACACCAUGGAGGAGGGUGGAGAGACAAAAAGAAACAAGGCAGAACAGAUGGAUCAGACCCUGCAGAAAGCCCACCCACCUCGAAAUUUUUUACUGUCACAGACCAAUAGACAACUUUUAUUGUUUAAGCCAGUUUGAGCUAUGUUUUCUGCUAUUGCAAUAAAGACCAUCCAUC
RNAcentral lists this long non-coding RNA (490 nucleotides) under Equus caballus (horse). RNAcentral describes it as "lncRNA (ENSECAG00000056884.1)". Lineage: Eukaryota; Metazoa; Chordata; Mammalia; Perissodactyla; Equidae. The record is from RNAcentral.